Rattus rattus (black rat) is the source of this 567-nucleotide non-coding RNA. The record is from the annotation of a RefSeq genome assembly. NCBI's taxonomy places the organism in Eukaryota, Metazoa, Chordata, Mammalia, Rodentia, Muridae.
AUGGACUUCCGCAACACCUUGGUUUUCCUUUUGCUUCUUUUAAAAAGUAUCCAGUGUGAGGUGCAGCUGGUGGAGUCUGGGGGAGGCUUAGUGCAGCCUGGAAGGUCCCUGAAACUCUCCUGUGUAGCCUCUGGAUUCACUUUCAGUAGCUAUGGCAUGCACUGGGUCCGCCAGGCUCCAGGGAAGGGGCUGGAGUGGGUUGCAUACAUUAGUAGUGGUAGCAGUUACAUCUACUAUGCAGAAACGGUGAAGGGCCGAUUCACCAUCUCCAGAGACAAUGCCAAGGACACCCUGUACCUGCAACUGACCAGUCUGAGGUCUGAAGACACUGCCUUGUAUUACUGUGCAAGAUACACUGUGAGCAAAUGUUACUGUGAGAUCAAACAGAAACCUCACUUAGGGCACCUUGGACCACCAGGGGGCGCUGAGAGAACAGAGAGCUGUGAGUCACAGAGCGUUACAGCCUGUUCAAUUGUCCCCAUCAUCCAAACCACCUUCAAAUUAUUCGACCCUCAACGUUCCUGUAAAAAACAAAAACUUCAGGGACAAAAAUGGAGCAGAACCUGA